UCCAGCUGCUGCUGCUCUUGUUAGCCUGCCUACCUACCUGCUCCUUCUUUUGGAUCCGUUUACCUCUGCUGUCUGCUUUCCUGUUGCUGACCUCUGCCUGGAUUCAAGUCCAAGUGAAAUGGUUGCCGAUGACAUUGGGGCUGAGCGGUGAAGUGUAAUUUGUCCAGACCAUGGUGACACUUGUCCAGGUCCUGAAAACUGAGUUAAGCUGUUUCCUCGGUGUGAGACGGUGGACACCUGCUCCGUCCAUGGGCCGCUGGACUUCCACAGACCAGGAGAAUCUGGAGGAUCGCUAUCUCCUGGAAGUUGUGGCAGUCGUUUUCUAUCAGUGAUGAUCACAGUUGUAGAGGCAAAUACACUGGAUGGUACUGUAGUAGAAGAAGACAAAGUGUCAGUUCAGCCAACAUUGCCAGCAUUCAGCGUUUAAUUAGCAUCCCAAGUGCAUGCUGGGAUGGACAUGCUGAGACGGAGUGGAUGGAUAACAGCUGAGUCCCCGCUGGCCUCAUCACACCAGUGCUCCCUGCUCUCUCACUGUCCUUCUAAAUAAAGAAUAGCAGGAGGAGAGGUGAUUCUACACGAAAAGGUCGCCUAUUGUACAGAUAUUCAUGGUCCCAA
Sebastes umbrosus (honeycomb rockfish) is the source of this 615-nucleotide long non-coding RNA. RefSeq lists it as uncharacterized. Lineage: Eukaryota; Metazoa; Chordata; Actinopteri; Perciformes; Sebastidae. The record is from RefSeq and is a predicted model, not a curated record. The transcript is spliced from 4 exons.